This 2383-nucleotide long non-coding RNA is filed under the name Equus asinus (donkey). RNAcentral's name for it is "lncRNA (ENSEASG00005029273.1)". Lineage: Eukaryota; Metazoa; Chordata; Mammalia; Perissodactyla; Equidae. The record is from RNAcentral.
CUGGCAGCUUGAGUCAGCUCCCUCCUCUGAUGUCCAGUUACUCUAAGGAGAGUGUUUUUGAGGGCCUACUCUGUGCAGGUACUAUGCUGGGUACUGGAGUACAAGCACGCGGAGGACUCAGUCCCUGCCCUUGAGAAACCACAGGAUGGUGGAGGAGACAGAUAAUCAGUGCCUUCUGCACAGAGUGAUAAAUUCAUAGAAGUGGAACGGCUGGAUUAGCCGGUAGGUAUAGGUUUAACUUUUUAAGAAACUGCCAUAGUGGUUGUACCAUUUUACAUUCCCACCAGCAGGUUUCAGUGCGUUUUAAGAAUAAGAUCUGGGGAUCUUAUUCUUGGAAUAAGCAAUGGAAAAAGGGCCUUGGAAGACGUAAUUAGGUUAAGGAUCUUGAGGUGAGAUCAUCCUGGAUUUCGAGUUAUUGAACUUCAAACAUCCUGAAGUCCAAUAACAUGUUCUUAUGAGAGGAAGGUAGAGGGAGACAGGCAGAGACAGAGAAGACAGAGGCAGAGAUCAGAGUCACUCUGCCCAAGCCAAGGAAGGCCUGGAGCUCCCAGAAGCUGGAAGAGGCCAAGAAGGAUCCUCUCCUAGAGGCUUCAGAGGGAAUGUGGCCCCGCCACACCUUGAUUUUGGACUUCUGGCCUCUAGCACUGCGAGAAUACGUUUUGUUGUUUUAAGCCUCCCAGCUUUUGGUAAUUUGUUACGUCAGCUCUAGGAAACUAAUACACUCAUCAUAGACUUUAUGCUGGGCACCGAGGAUUUGAAGAUUAAAGGUGUGGAUCCCACUGUCGAGGAGUCUAAAAGCAGGCAAGCAGACUUACAGAGAACAACUGUGUUAAACUGAGAUAGCUUCUGCAACUGGGUGUAUCUAGUAAGGAGAGCGAUUGCAAAAGUCUAACCAAAAAAGGCAGUCCUGUCUUGACCUCUCCUUUCUCCCUCCCCUCUUGUCUUUCCCUGGUUUCUUUUCCACUGUUCCUUAUCUCAAUUAACAGCAUCUUCACUGUGCAAAUUGCACAAGCCAGAAAUCAAGGAGUCACUCUUAUAUCUCACCCUCCCAUGAUCAAUCUGCCACCAAAACCCCAUUAGCCUCAUUUAUUUCCUUAAUAUUUCUAAAAAUUUCCACUUCUCUCCACCUCCGUGGCCACCACCGUGCUCCAAGCUCCCAUCCCCUCUGGCUUGACAAAUUCCUCCUGGCGGGUCCUCCUGCCUCGCUCUGCUUCCCCUGCCCUCUCUUCUCCCCUCUGCAGUGGGAAUAAGCUUAUCACAAGGACAUUUGGUGGCACUGCCCUGCUGAUGAAACUCUGCUCUGGCUUUGCACAGCUCUUAGCAUAAAAGGGAACUCCUCCAGCUGGUCCAGGGGGCCCUGCUGGUCCAGCCCUGCCCCCUACCUCUCCACGCCGGGUUCUCUGUGCUCCGGCCACCUUGUCUGCCUACAGUCCAGCACACUCUGCCUCUUCCACCAAGGGGCUCUCAGGAACUGUUCUCUCUGCACAGAAGACCUGGAACACUCCUUCAUUCGGCUGACUGCUGCUGCCUCAGCAUCAUCCCUGUGGAAGCCUGCUUCACGUACCGAUGAGGUCGCCCUCCUGUCUGCAUCUCUGAGAGUCAUGGUUACGAUUCUGCACUGGGGGCUUCUUCCCCCACUAGCCUGUAAGCUCCUUGGGCACGGGGAACGUGGCCUUUCUUAUUCACUGUUGCGUCUCUAACGCACAGCCUGGGGCCUGGUGCACACUAGCUGCUUACUCCCUAUUUGUUGACAAUGAACAAAUUGCACCGUUGUUUAUAAUAGUGAACAACUGGAGAAAAUUUACUGAGAACAAGUUAAAUCACCAUGUAUGGAUGUGAUGCAAUACCAUGGAAGUCUUCGAAACAAUGCGGUGGAGCUGUGUUUACCGACAUGGAAAGUUGGCUGGGAUAGACUUUGAGUAAAAAACAACAAAAAAAGCAAGUUGCAGAACAAUUGGUAGGGGAAACCAUUGGUUUUUGUUUUGUUUUGUUUUUUAAGUCAUUGUUUUAAAAUCAAAAGCAGUAUAUCCAGGAUAGGUUCAGUGGGGCGUGAGCGAAGGUGUGGAAGGACGAUGUCAAAUGGUUCACAAGGCUUAGUGCUGGCUGCUGGGCCGGGAGAGUGAGAGAGGCAACUUAAGUACGUUUUGUAAAGAAUUUAUAAAAUUUUGCAUUGUUUGAAAUUUUUAUUUUUACAAGUACGUAUCAUUUUUGUAAGUUAAGCAUGUUUUUAAACAGUGAAAGGAAGACAGGAAGCCUCCCAAGGAGGAGAGCCCAUUCACGAACACCCACAGCACGCUCCUUCUCUGCCCUCAAGCCCCGUUACGACCCCAUCCACCUGCCUUGGACUUGUGUCCUUGUCCUCUCCCCUGCGUCCCUGCCCUCU